This 178-nucleotide ribosomal RNA is filed under the name uncultured bacterium. RNAcentral describes it as "partial 16S ribosomal RNA". It matches the Rfam family "Bacterial small subunit ribosomal RNA", at positions 332 to 526 of the family's 1533-position model. The record is from RNAcentral.
AUUACUCCUACGGGAGGCAGCAGUGGGGAAUAUUGCACAAUGGGGGAAACCCUGAUGCAGCAACGCCGCGUGAGUGAAGAAGGUCUUCGGAUUGUAAAGCUCUGUCUUUUGGGACGAUAAUGACGGUACCAAAGGAGGAAGCCACGGCUAACUACGUGCCAGCAGCCGCGGUAAUAAU